This 253-nucleotide ribosomal RNA is filed under the name uncultured bacterium. RNAcentral's name for it is "partial 16S ribosomal RNA". It matches the Rfam family "Bacterial small subunit ribosomal RNA", at positions 524 to 776 of the family's 1533-position model. The record is from RNAcentral.
UACGAAGGGGGCUAGCGUUGCUCGGAAUCACUGGGCGUAAAGCGCACGUAGGCGGCUUCUUAAGUCAGGGGUGAAAUCCUGGAGCUCAACUCCAGAACUGCCUUUGAUACUGAGAAGCUUGAGUCCGGGAGAGGUGAGUGGAACUGCGAGUGUAGAGGUGAAAUUCGUAGAUAUUGGGAAGAACACCGGUGGCGAAGGCGGCCAUCUGGACCGCAACUGACGCUGAGGCGCGAAAGCGUGGGGAGCAAACAGG